UAAAUACAGACCACUUUGCGUUCAACUAUUCACACUGCAGCUGCAGCAAGCUAAAGAGACAGGCUUUUCAGGCUCACUCUCUGACUUCCUCCUCUCUACAGUCACUUAUUUUGCCCCAUCUCCAAGAUGUGCGACAAAGAUCCGUCCUUGCUUGGAGUAAU
This is a long non-coding RNA of Colossoma macropomum (tambaqui), 161 nucleotides long. RefSeq lists it as uncharacterized. Lineage: Eukaryota; Metazoa; Chordata; Actinopteri; Characiformes; Serrasalmidae. The record is from RefSeq and is a predicted model, not a curated record. The transcript has 3 exons.